GGAUACUCGGCUACGAUGGCGGUGUAGCGGCAGACUGUAAAUCUGUUCCCUCAGGGCAAACAAGAUGGUUCGAAUCCAUCAGUAUCCACCA
This 91-nucleotide transfer RNA is filed under the name Aeromonas phage Aes508. RNAcentral's name for it is "tRNA-Tyr". It matches the Rfam family "tRNA". From Rfam's summary of the family: Transfer RNA (tRNA) molecules are approximately 80 nucleotides in length. Their secondary structure includes four short double-helical elements and three loops (D, anti-codon, and T loops). The record is from RNAcentral. Lineage: Duplodnaviria; Heunggongvirae; Uroviricota; Caudoviricetes; Pantevenvirales; Straboviridae. RNAcentral also lists the same sequence under 1 other name.